This is a long non-coding RNA of Pseudophryne corroboree (corroboree frog), 870 nucleotides long. RefSeq lists it as uncharacterized. The record is from RefSeq and is a predicted model, not a curated record. NCBI's taxonomy places the organism in Eukaryota, Metazoa, Chordata, Amphibia, Anura, Myobatrachidae. The transcript is spliced from 3 exons.
ACUGUGGCCGGGUUUCCAUGGUGAUCCCCGGGUUGUGAAGCGCAAGCAGUGCCGUUACUAUGACGACAGCCGGAAGCCCGCACCCGGAAGUGUGUCACCGGAAGUGGACCUGCGGCUCUGGGCGCGUCUGGGAAGGAGAGGAUGGCGUGGACGGGCAGCGGAGGUACUUAAUGUGGUCCCUGUUAUACCUCCCACCAGCAGGAGUCACUGUUACUGACUAUAUAUGAAUUGAGGAGACUUCCGGCUGCUAUACACUGUUAAACUAUAAUACCCAGAACUAUUGGGAAAAUGUGUGACAACAUCCUGUUGAUGAACUACAGGAUGCCGUCACUUCCGUUGAUGGGACCAUAAUGCCGGGCAGAAGAAAGGAAACAUAAUGCUCACAAACCCAGAGGACGGCCACAUCCUGUUAUCUGGUCCACAAUAUGACAUCACUUCCGGUGAGAUCAGACGGAGGAUGGACUACAUUUCCCAUGAGCAUUGGGAAAUGGGAACUUCCGGCCAGCGUUACUUUUUAAAUUAAGUCCUGUAUUGGUGCAUUUUAUGUAUGAUCCAUAUGCAAAAAAAUUUAAUGUGGUAAACAAUUUAUACAAUAUAUUUACUGACCUGAAAUCCAAUUAAGCACGUGAGGUCAUUUCCUGCAUUAAUGUAAUUGGUUAGUGACAGUAUAAAUAUCAAGCUCCUGCACACUCCAUCAUGUCUUGAUAAAGGUUAUUCACCGAAACGCGUUGACACAGUAGUGUGAGUAGCUUCACACCUUCCAGCUGAUGUUUGUUACUUUCUUUUGUUUUUAACUUUGCAUGUUUUUUGAUGUUGGUGCAACUUUUAUUCACAUUGCGUGUGGAUUUUUGUAACAUGUUUUUAUACGGA